Molecule: non-coding RNA, 122 nt
Filed under: marine eukaryotic metagenome
Description: Ruegeria cis8 sRNA
Rfam family: Ruegeria cis8 sRNA
About the family: Cis-encoded. Targets hypothetical protein.
Source: RNAcentral
AGCACUUUGGCAAUAUAGGGGAUCAGAGGCAGGUUCAGUACCAGCAAAAUCAGAUUGCCAAGAUACAUCGAGAUAAUCACUGACCAGAAAAUCUGUGGUUGAUCGACCAUCAAACGUGGCCC